This 1233-nucleotide long non-coding RNA is filed under the name Anser cygnoides (Swan goose). RNAcentral's name for it is "lncRNA (ENSACDG00005019248.1)". The record is from RNAcentral. Lineage: Eukaryota; Metazoa; Chordata; Aves; Anseriformes; Anatidae.
AUGUCAAAACAUCCCAACCUGAUAGCCUUGAAACGGAGGGUUUCGGUUUUAACCACUUUUUGCUGGAAACUUUUUGCACUGCUGUGGAGAACGUUGAAAGUUCCUACCGAUGCCGAAUGCUUUUGUUGCAAGCGGUGUAUUGGUAGUUUACUUUUGUGCAGCCCGAUGAUUCAAGUGCUUCCCCAGAGCGUGGUCGCAGAUCAGUUCUCCCCUCCGCCCGAGGACACUCAUUCAGCGAGUUUUGGGAUGCCGCCCCCAUCCUCGUGGGUACGGAUUUGCUCCGUGGAGGCUAAGAGCAGCUGGUGCAUGGUGGGGACGGCAACAGGAGGACCAGGCAGAGCCAGGAGGCAAUAUUUAGGAUGCUGGAGUGGGAAAAAGGAGGCAGCAGCUGUGAGGUCUGGCUAUAAAAAGGCCGGGAGCUGCCGCAGUGGGUCCUCUGGGGGGUUGCUCUCUGGCCUUCUCCUUGAUGCUGUUCUAAAUACGUCCCGGAGCUGAGAUUGCAGGCAGGUUGUCUCUGUCACCAUGUCACCACCUACAGCACUCCUCCCCUUCGCUUUCCGUUUCCCAUGAAAAAAGAAAUCAGCCGCCCCAAACUUUGACUCGGAGUCACGCGUAGCUCGGCGUUGACCAGACAUCAGCCAACGAAUGAAUAUUUCAUACUCAAAACUGCCAGAGUUCCUCAUUUUCACUGUUCUCCUUGGGAAACAGAUGUCUCCUGGAAAGAGAAGAUCUUGUCUGACCGGCAGGCUCGGCGCGCACGUUUGGGGAGGUUCUCGGUUCGGGCCAGGAAUGAAUAGCUUCCCUGUCCUCGGAGGCCACCUUUAUUCCCAGCAGAGGCCACGACGCUGACAAAUGUGUUUACGUGAGGCUGUAUCUAACAAAAGAAGGCUGCCUGACCCAAUUAGCCCUGAAUUCCCCCACUUCCAAAGCAGGUGCGUCCAACCUGCUUGGCUUCCCUAAACCCGUGGCAUAGCCCGGAGCAGGAACAGGGUGAUGCUCCCAUCUGCCCGCAGAGGCUGGGCUCAGCACGUUGGUGGAGGAAAGCUGGUCCCUAGAUGCCUCCUCGGGCAGGUCAGCUCAUCUCCUCUCAUCUCUCUGCCCACCAGCACUGCAGACUCGUGCCCAUUUUUUGGCAGAGCUGGGGGUUGAAUUCUCCCACGCUUCAGGCUCGGCUGAGCCCAUACAUGGUGUUGAGAAUACAAUUAGGGAAUAAAGAUUCGCUGAAGAAGGUCA